UUCCUAGCGGCGCCGGCCACCACCCCCGUCCACAAGGACCAGCAGCCACAUCCGGCAGCCAUGGGGCCAGAGCAGGAGCAGCAUCCCUGCCGCCAUCGUCGCUCGCCCCGGUCCCCGUCCUGCAGCGGUGGCCGAGGAGGACUAGCCGCGCCACGGCCGCACAUCCCGUCCUGCAGCGGUGGUCCACGGGAUCGGCAUCGACACCGGCCUCUUUGCUCCCGCUCGAGUCAUGAAGGGACAACCAGCAGCGGUGGCCCAGGAGAUCAACUACUAGCCGAGGAGAGUCGCCUCCGAUUCUGCAAGGAGCCCGACGGCUGUCUCCUCCUCCGCAGCCGCACACGAGCGGCCAGCCCUGGACUAGGUCAUGGCACCAGAAGCGGACGGCGGAGGCAUGUCCAGCUGGUCUGAGAUCUAAGCACACCUGUUGCUUCUACCGUUCGUCGGCCACCUGGUAGCAGGCUCGUGAGCAAGCGAGGCAUUUUGGGUAUCUUAUCUAUGUUGCCAAUGGAACUGAUGGACUUCUGCUUAACACAAAUAAUUUGGUGGUGCUUGGAUCUGGGAGUGAACUGUGUCAAGGUUCUUCUCUACUAUAGGAGGAAAUAAGAUGGGGCAUGUGUUUAUGUUUUCAAGGAGAAAUAUUGCAACUGAUGCGUGUACAUUAGUGUAGGUUCGUUUCACAUUGUUUUCUGAAACAAAGUGAUGCCUGCGAUCAAAGAGUAUAUAGAGGUCGAAGAACUACACAUUUGAAGCAAUUCAAAUGAAACAGGGCAUGGUUAUGAGGGUCAAGGGUCAACAAUAACCAUAAAAGCUUAUUAUUGAUCCCUGGAUACAUUAUAGCAUCUAUUGUUAUGGGUGAAUGUGGUUUUCUGCCUUGGUGAGCUCCCUAAUUUGGCAAGGACCCCGGCCUGAACGGCAUCUUUGUGUUGCGCUGUGUUGGUUCCAGUUCCACACACGCGCAUCGGAGGCCGCGUUCCAGUUCCACGAGGCCUCUCUCAUCCUGCAAAAUAGUUCCUGGGUUGGUGGUUUCUAUCUCUUCCUAGCUGAAUAUAUAUGAGGGGGUCAAUUAUCAGAUGUCCUUCAUUUUUACCCUUUGCAUUUGCUUUGGCUGGAUGAAACGGACCGUCAGUUAAUUAGUUGUUGUGCCUAUGGCUGCUUGCAUUAAUGAUUCCAUGUGUGCAUUAUUAACCACUGAAAAUCAUUGGCUUAUCAUACAAGAUGCAAACCAUCUGCUGUGGCUCUAAUGUAGUACCACUUCAUAAUCUUGCUUCUGUUAGUAAAUUGAGACAACUAUUACUAUGCUUAGUCGUUUGUAGUUUUGGUAGUUGUGAGAAACUUGAUGAGGUACAGUGCGGAAUGACACCCAUCCAGUUAUAGUAUACCUUUUUUCCUAGGUUCUAUUAUUUAUCUUCUUACUAUGUAUUGUUCCACUGGUGGUCGCGCCUAAAAAUAACUAAUAUUUUUCCUUGAUAUGUUAUUAUUAAACUUAUGCCUUUAUUCACACAAAUAGUUUAUGAUGCUGUUUUGGUUACCAAUCUUUGCCGUUUCCUAUAAAAUGAUUAGGUGCUACAAUACAUCAGUCUGGAUUCUACUGCUAUUACAAUCUUUGUGUUGCAUGUCUCUCUCGACCUUUUACUUUCAUGUAUUUAUUUUUGUUUUGCUGUGAAUAAACCAAGAGAGUAGGAUGUCGGCUUUGCUUCAAGAUACCACUAUGAAUUUAGGAGCUUCCUUGACUUCAUGUGAUGGCAUGACGACGGGAUCACGAAGUUUAGGUGUUGAGUGUGUUCCAUGGCCAUGAAAAUUUGGAAGCUCCAUGAUGUUCCUUUUACUCAACAGAAAGUUAUACCAAUUUUUUGCCUCUAAAAACUGAGCACAAUAGAUGCACUUGCAGCACUCAUACAUAUUAUGUGAGAAAUCAAGUUGGAGAUCAUAUGCUUCGAGGCUUGAUCUCCUCAUGUUUGUGUUCACCGAUUUCCCAAAAGUAUUAUGUGCUGCACAUAUUCUUAUUUCUUUUGAUUAAUUUAGAGCAAGGUAGGUGUGGAAGUUGCCGAUUCAAGGCUCAACUCGAGCAAAACUUGAUUUCUUGAUUGUUUUGUCGAUGCAUCUGAGACUGACUUACUUCUCUACCCAGUUCUGCUCUGUAAUUUUAGAAUAUAUGUUGUCAUGUGCUUGCUUCAGCUUUCGGUGUUGGCUUUUCUAUCUAAUGUUUUCUUCUUGCUUUUGGAAUAGCUGCAUAUGUUUCCAAAUACUAAAUGUUCUCUUCUUGGUUUUUGAAGAAGCCUUUUGACCUUCUUAUUAUGCAUGCAUGUUGAUGAUACUGAGGUUAUCGGCAUUCUCCUGCAAACUGAAUUAAUUCCUUUGUGCUUGCGUACCAUGGAGAUGGGCAGUGAGCUAUAAAAAAUGUAUGUAGCUAACCAUCUCAAUCAAUUAUUUUAUCCUUGACUUUCCUCUACAGGAUGAUGACUAUCUAAUGGUGAUUCCCUAUUCCCACAUUUUCUGCCCUCAUGUUGCAAGCUCUAAAGCUGCCCCUGCAAUUUACCAUCACAAGACAUGUCUGGGCAGCAAGUCUCCUGUGACGGUUACUUUUAAUUCGUCGUUACGAUUGUUUGAUGGUUUGCUUGUUCCAACCUCGAUAUCAUGGUUUGCUUGUUCCAACCUCGAUAUCAUGGUUUGCUUGUUCCAACCUCGAUAUCUGCCUUUAGAUUCCUGUUGUUGUCUUUGUAGUGGAAGGUACCACCUGGUGGUAUGUUGUUAUUUUCACUUUGUUCUGAACAAGGCAUGUAUAGAUUUCAGAUUUUAGUUCCUAUCACUCUGUC
This is a long non-coding RNA of Triticum aestivum (bread wheat), 2813 nucleotides long. RefSeq lists it as uncharacterized. NCBI's taxonomy places the organism in Eukaryota, Viridiplantae, Streptophyta, Magnoliopsida, Poales, Poaceae. The transcript is spliced from 6 exons. The record is from RefSeq and is a predicted model, not a curated record.